GGAGCCGUAGCGAAAGCGAGUUUUAACUGAGCGUUCAGUUACUUGACGUAGACCCGAAACCGGGCGACCUACCCAUGAGCAGGAUGAAGCGAAAGUAAAAUUUCGUGGAGGUCCGAACCCACGAGCGUUGAAAAGCUCGGGGAUGACUUGUGGGUAGCGGUGAAAUUCCAAUCGAGCCCGGAGAUAGCUGGUUCUCCCCGAAAUAGCUUUAGGGCUAGCCUCAAGGUGAGAGAUACGGAGGUAGAGCACUGAAUGUCCUAGGGGGUAUUGCACCUACCGAAGACUAUCAAACUCCGAAUGCCGUCAUCUUAUACUUGGGAGUCAGACUGUGGGUGAUAAGAUUCAUAGUCGAAAGGGCAACAGCCCAGAUCGUCAGCUAAGGUCCCUAAAUGUAAGUUAAGUGGUAAAGGAUGUGGGAUUGCACAGACAACCAGGAUGUUGGCUUAGAAGCAGCCACUCAUUCAAAGAGUGCGUAAUAGCUCACUGGUCGAGUGAUCCUGCGCCGAAGAUUUCCGGGGCUAAAACUUACUACCGAAGCUACGGCAUCAGUAAUGAUGGGUAGGGGAGCUUCCCAUACGGGUUGAAGCAUGACCGUAAGGACAUGUGGACAGUAUGGGAGUGAGAAUGUUGGCAUGAGUAGCGAGAUGUGGGUGAGAAUCCCACAGGCCGUAAACCCAAGGUUUCCAGGGGAAGGUUCGUCCGCCCUGGGUUAGUCGGGACCUAAGCUGAGGCCGAAAGGCGUAGGUGAUGGACAACAGGUUGAUAUUCCUGUACUACCGAUAACCGUUUGAGAGAAGGGAUGACACAGUAGGAUAAGCUAAGCACACUGUUGGUUAUGUGUGCCCAAGCAUUGAGGCAGUCAAAGUAGGCAAAUCCGCUUUGAUAAUGCUGGGAUGUGAUGGGGAGCGAAAUUUAGUAGCGAAGUAGCUGAUUUCACACUGUCAAGAAAAGUCUCUAUCGAGGUUAAAGGUACCCGUACCGCAAACCGACACAGGUGGGUGAGGAGAGUAUCCUAAGGCCAGCGAGAGAACUGUUGUUAAGGAACUCGGCAAAAUGACCCCGUAACUUAGGGAUAAGGGGUGCCACCAUCAGGUGGCCGCAGAGAAUAGGCCCAAGCGACUGUUUACCAAAAACAUAGGUUUCUGCUAAGUCGCAAGACGAUGUAUAGGAGCUGACGCCUGCCCGGUGCUGGAAGGUUAAGGGGAUCUGUUAGAGCAAUCGAAGCAGUGAACUUAAGCCCCAGUAAACGGCGGCCGUAACUAUAACGGUCCUAAGGUAGCGAAAUUCCUUGUCGGGUAAGUUCCGACCCGCACGAAAGGCGUAACGAUUUGGGCACUGUCUCA
This 1343-nucleotide ribosomal RNA is filed under the name Clostridioides difficile. Its description in RNAcentral is "partial 23S ribosomal RNA". It matches the Rfam family "Bacterial large subunit ribosomal RNA", at positions 662 to 2023 of the family's 2925-position model. Lineage: Bacteria; Bacillati; Bacillota; Clostridia; Peptostreptococcales; Peptostreptococcaceae. The record is from RNAcentral.